RNAcentral lists this non-coding RNA (30 nucleotides) under Rattus norvegicus (Norway rat). The record is from RNAcentral. Lineage: Eukaryota; Metazoa; Chordata; Mammalia; Rodentia; Muridae.
UAAGCUUACUUUGAGGUGACUUAGCUUGGU